CACGUAGGGGGCGAGCGUUGUCCGGAUUUAUUGGGCGUAAAGAGCUCGUAGGCGGCUCAGUAAGUCGGGUGUGAAAACUCCAGGCUCAACCUGGAGACGCCACCUGAUACUGCUGUGGCUAGAGUCCGGUAGGGGAGCAUGGAAUUCCUGGUGUAGCGGUGAAAUGCGCAGAUAUCAGGAGGAACACCAGUGGCGAAGGCGGUGCUCUGGGCCGGAACUGACGCUGAGGAGCGAAAGCGUGGGGAGCGAACAGG
RNAcentral lists this ribosomal RNA (254 nucleotides) under uncultured bacterium. Its description in RNAcentral is "partial 16S ribosomal RNA". It matches the Rfam family "Bacterial small subunit ribosomal RNA", at positions 524 to 776 of the family's 1533-position model. The record is from RNAcentral.